This is a long non-coding RNA of Homarus americanus (American lobster), 945 nucleotides long. RefSeq lists it as uncharacterized. Lineage: Eukaryota; Metazoa; Arthropoda; Malacostraca; Decapoda; Nephropidae. The record is from RefSeq and is a predicted model, not a curated record. The transcript has 2 exons.
UCGACAUUUUGGCGGGUGAUGACGUCAAGGGCGGAACAAAGACUGACAGGUGUAGCUGAUCGCUCUAUAAAGGGGUGGCCGGCAGCCCUACACAUACACAAGGCAAGAAGUAUUCAAGUGUUCACCGUCUCAGCUACAACAUUACGAAGUUCAUCGACGUCUUAUAAAUAACUAAACACUUAUUCGGCCAAUUACUCGUUCCUUCUAUCUUCGGCGACAUUCCAGCCUAGAGGACCCGACAAGUAGCAUUGCAGAGAUGGAAGCGAGAAUGUUGGUAGUGGUGAUGUUGGUUGGUGCCGCCGUCCACUCACUCCCACACUCUAAAGUUAACACCCCUCCCCUGCCAUACCCUCAAGUUAAUGACCCUGUCCCACCACAAAUUACUGACAAUAGAUCUGACCUGAACGACCCUCAGGUUAAUGAGGUUGCCCUGCUAGACCCUGCAGUUAAUGCCGUUGCCCUGCCACACCAUGAAGUUAAUGCCCCUCCUGUGCCGAACACUGAUGCUAACAGUCCUGCACUACCUGACACUGCCCUUAUCAAGUCUACCAGGCCAGUAGUUCCAGGAGAGAUAAGUGUCAUUAUUGUAAAGGCAAGUGACACCGCAAAGAAGACAGGUAGCAUCCGGAGUGCUGUGACCACCACAACUCUCGACCCGUUUGAUGAGUACUGCAAAGAAGCGUGUGAGGAAGGCGUAGGAGGUCCUGAGUGUGACUGUCCUGACCACCCUAUUGGUUAGUGACCUCCUCCUUGACCUUACCCCCACCUUCUUGACCUGAACUGACCUCUGCCAUUACCUGGUUAAAUGAACUGUUACCAUAUUAAAUGUUAAAUAUUAUAUUAUGCAUAUAUUUUUCUGUACUAUAAAAUAUAUAUUGCAAGUAAAACUGUUGAAAUAAUGUUUGUAUUUGUAAUAUUAAGACAAUAAAUAUUAAGAGAAGAGUA